GACGAACGCUGGCGGCGCGCCUAACACAUGCAAGUCGAACGAGCGAGAGAGAGCUUGCUUUCUCGAGCGAGUGGCGAACGGGUGAGUAACGCGUGAGGAACCUGCCUCAAAGAGGGGGACAACAGUUGGAAACGACUGCUAAUACCGCAUAAGCCCACGGUGCCGCAUGGCACAGAGGGAAAAGGAGCAAUCCGCUUUGAGAUGGCCUCGCGUCCGAUUAGCUAGGUGGUGAGGUAAUGGCCCACCAAGGCGACGAUCGGUAGCCGGACUGAGGGGUUGAACGGCCACAUUGGGACUGCGACACGGCCCAGACUCCUACGGGAGGCAGCAGUGGGGAAUAUUGCACGAUGGGGGAAACCCUGAUGCAGCGACGCCGCGUGGAGGAAGAAGGUCUUCGGAUUGUAAACUCCUGUUGUUGGGGAAGAUAAUGACGGUACCCAACAAGGAAGUGACGGCUAACUACGUG
RNAcentral lists this ribosomal RNA (466 nucleotides) under uncultured bacterium. RNAcentral describes it as "partial 16S ribosomal RNA". It matches the Rfam family "Bacterial small subunit ribosomal RNA", at positions 28 to 507 of the family's 1533-position model. The record is from RNAcentral.